This 301-nucleotide ribosomal RNA is filed under the name uncultured bacterium. Its description in RNAcentral is "partial 16S ribosomal RNA". It matches the Rfam family "Bacterial small subunit ribosomal RNA", at positions 509 to 807 of the family's 1533-position model. The record is from RNAcentral.
CAGUCGCCGCGGGAAUACAGAGGGUGCGAGCGUUAAUCGGAUUUACUGGGCGUAAAGCGUGCGUAGGCGGCUUUUUAAGUCGGAUGUGAAAUCCCUGAGCUUAACUUAGGAAUUGCAUUCGAUACUGGGAAGCUAGAGUAUGGGAGAGGAUGGUAGAAUUCCAGGUGUAGCGGUGAAAUGCGUAGAGAUUUGGAGGAAUACCGAUGGCGAAGGCAGCCAUCUGGCCUAAUACUGACGCUGAGGUACGAAAGCAUGGGGAGCAAACAGGAUUAGAUACCCCGGUAGUCCCUGUCUCUUAUAC